Molecule: ribosomal RNA, 241 nt
Filed under: uncultured bacterium
Lineage: Bacteria
Description: partial 16S ribosomal RNA
Rfam family: Bacterial small subunit ribosomal RNA
Source: RNAcentral
GACGAACCGUGCGAACGUUAUUCGGAAUCACUGGGCUUAAAGCGCGUGUAGGCGGCCGGCACGUCCGUCGCUGAAAUCCCCGGCUCAACCGGGGAAGUGGCGUGGAUACGACCGGGCUGGAGGGGGUAGGGGAGCCGGAACUUCCGGUGGAGCGGUGAAUGCGUUGAGAUCGGAAGGAACGCCGUGGCGAAAGCGGCUCCUGGACCCGACCUGACGCUGAGACGCGAAGCCAGGGAGCGAA